RNAcentral lists this long non-coding RNA (207 nucleotides) under Pan troglodytes (chimpanzee). RNAcentral's name for it is "long non-coding RNA NONPTRT013637". Lineage: Eukaryota; Metazoa; Chordata; Mammalia; Primates; Hominidae. The record is from RNAcentral.
UGAAUGGCGAAUAUGUCCAAGUCCAUGCUAACAGAAAGGAGCAGAUCUCAGGAACCUGAAGAAACCGGCACACAAUAGAAUCUAUAAAAGCUUUCAAGGGAUUGCAUGAGACUUACCAAAUCAACUGGACACCAAAGUUUGGCCAAGAUAACACAUAAAAUUAGCCAUCACAAAGACUAAAUGAAGCCUCCCUAUAACAAAGCUGGA